Molecule: ribosomal RNA, 253 nt
Filed under: uncultured bacterium
Lineage: Bacteria
Description: partial 16S ribosomal RNA
Rfam family: Bacterial small subunit ribosomal RNA
Source: RNAcentral
UACGGAGGGUGCGAGCGUUAAUCGGAAUUACUGGGCGUAAAGCGCACGCAGGCGGUUGAUUGAGUCAGAUGUGAAAUCCCCGGGCUUAACUUGGGAAUUGCAUCUGAAACUGGUUGGCUAGAGUCUUGUAGAGGGGGGUAGAAUUCCAUGUGUAGCGGUGAAAUGCGUAGAGAUGUGGAGGAAUACCGGUGGCGAAGGCGGCCCCCUGGGAUAACACUGACGUUCAUGCCCGAAAGCGUGGGUAGCAAACAGG